UACGGAGGAUGCAAGCGUUAUCCGGAAUUAUUGGGCGUAAAGCGUCCGCAGGUGGUUUUACAAGUCUGCUGUGAAAGCGCGGAGCUUAACUUCGUAUCGGCAGUGGAAACUGUGGAACUAGAGUUCGGUAGGGGUCACGGGAAUUCCCAGUGUAGCGGUGAAAUGCGUAGAUAUUGGGAAGAACACCAGCGGCGAAAGCGCGUGACUGGGCCUGAACUGACACUCAUGGACGAAAGCUAGGGGAGCGAAAGGG
This 253-nucleotide ribosomal RNA is filed under the name uncultured bacterium. RNAcentral describes it as "partial 16S ribosomal RNA". It matches the Rfam family "Bacterial small subunit ribosomal RNA", at positions 524 to 776 of the family's 1533-position model. The record is from RNAcentral.